This 532-nucleotide long non-coding RNA is filed under the name Androctonus crassicauda. The record is from RNAcentral. Lineage: Eukaryota; Metazoa; Arthropoda; Arachnida; Scorpiones; Buthidae.
GUAGUUGAUCCUUUGUACUGCAUUGGUUCUUAAAAUUUCCUUUUUGUUCAAUUGGGUAUAAAGAGUUAACAGGCAAAUGAUUGUAGAUUUGAUUACUGUUAAUGCCCGUAAAAGUUAAAAGUUGUUGGAAAGCAAGUGAUAGGUCGAAAAUUACUCAGAGUUGUGCCUUUACUUGGAUCUUUGAUUAACAAAAAUGUUCUUCCUGAUGUCAUCCAUUCUUGAACUGAUCCAUCCUGGAGCAUUUUAUUAAAUUGAUGAGCUAGGCAACUAUGUAAACUGGUAAGAUGUUUGAGCCAGAAGCCAUGGAGUUUGUCUUUGCCAGGGGCACUCCAGUUCUUCACUUUUUUAGCCUGCUCACAAACCAUUUCUUUUGUUAUUAUCAAGUCUUCCAUUUCUGUUUUCUUGAUACAUUUUUCAAUAUCUUUCAUCUAGGAAGCAUUUUGGUUAUGAUAUUGCUGUUUGUCCAAAAUAUCUCUGCAAAACUUUACUAUUUCAUUUCCAUAUUUUGGGCUUGUGUAUUUGUUAAUCUGCC